ACGCGAAGAACCUUACCUGGGCUAGAAUGCCUCUGACAGCCUGAGAGAUCAGGUCUCCUGGGUAAAACCAGGCAGGAUGCAGGGUGCUGCACGGCUGUCGUCAGCUCGUGUCGUGAGAUGUUGGGUUAAGUCCCGCAACGAGCGCAACCCUUGUCAGUAGUUGCCAGCGGUUCGGCCGGGCACUCUACUGAGACUGCCGUUGACAAAACGGAGGAAGGUGGGGAUGACGUCAAGUCCUCAUGGCCUUUAUGUCCAGGGCUACACACGUGCUACAACGGCAGGUACAAAGGGUUGCCAACCCGCGAGGGGGAGCCAAUCCCAGAAAGCUGGUCGUAGUCCGGAUCGCAGUCUGCAACUCGGCUGCGUGAAGUCGGAAUCGCUAGUAAUCGUGAAUCAGCGAUGUCACGGUGAAUACGUUCCCGGGCCUUGUACACACCG
This 438-nucleotide ribosomal RNA is filed under the name uncultured bacterium. RNAcentral's name for it is "bacterial SSU rRNA". It matches the Rfam family "Bacterial small subunit ribosomal RNA", at positions 959 to 1392 of the family's 1533-position model. The record is from RNAcentral.